UUAACUUAUUCGGUUGUUACUCAGACGCACGGAUGCAGAGUUUGGGUAAGGUCCACCGAGGGCCCCGACGCCCGUGAGGGCCGGGUCGCCCCCGAGGCAACAGAGUCGGAGUUCAAAGGGUUGGAGGUCGGGCCGGGAGGCCCUCACUCGGUAAUGAUCCCUCCGCAGGUUCACCUACGGAGA
This 183-nucleotide unclassified non-coding RNA is filed under the name uncultured fungus. Its description in RNAcentral is "sequence contains ITS1". The record is from RNAcentral. Lineage: Eukaryota; Fungi.